Molecule: long non-coding RNA, 3844 nt
Organism: Lolium perenne
Lineage: Eukaryota; Viridiplantae; Streptophyta; Magnoliopsida; Poales; Poaceae
Source: RefSeq, a predicted model, not a curated record
UAUUUUCGGCUGUGACGUAGGCGCCUGGGACGACACGCUCGCCAUCCUCGCCGGUGGGGACGAGGCCGUGGUGGCAUGUUUCGCGCCACUCUUCGCGCAUCUAGCAGAUCCACCUAUAUAGGCCGGCUCGGUUGCGGUCAGAGCAGCAAGAUUCCCAACAGAAUCGCGGUCGUCGGCCUCGGCGAGUCUCUGGCCUUCGCGGAUGCUGUCGGUCUCAACACGAGGCAAUUCCCAAUCUCUGAGGGCGCGACCUUUUGGCGAUGAGUAGGGCAGAUGAGCGAGUUUGUCCUUGCUUUUUGCUCCAGAAGCGAGAAGCCGACGUCAACGAUCUAGACUAGCAUCCGUUCGACGAUUCGGUGCGUGGCAUCGGACAGGGCGAGGACGAGGACGGCGGCGGCCGCGUUGACCACCGGACCGGCGGGAACACCAGCGGCUGCACCUGCCGCUGCGCACGCAGACGGCCGCGUUGACCAUGGGCCAGUAGCUGCCUCUGCCAUGGGCCUCCCUCUCAUAAAAAAGAACGCCCUCGCCCACAUUCUCUUCCCCUGCUCCUCAUGUGACGAUGGGCCUCCCUCUCAUAAAAAAGAACGCCCUCGCCCACAUUCUCUUCCCCUGCUCCUCAUGUGACGAUGGCUGAAUCCUACCCUGCUUUGCCUCUCCCCUUCCUCUGAUCUUGGUUUGCGUAUUGUAUUCAGGGACCCCUUGUAUUCAUCUGAAUUUGGAUGCCCUCUAGACUUAAUUAAAGUUGGUUCUUAUGAGUUUGAAUCAAUCACAUGAAGGGGUGCCUGCUAAGCAGUAAUAUUGAAAUUGAUCUAACCUACACAUAUAAUAGCUUUUAACAAUAGAAAUUUGGUUAACAUAAUUGAGGUGAAUACUGCUACCAUUGUCUAUAAUUUUCUGAUGUUGUCUUUUUUCCCCGGAGGUCUGCUGUUGCGUGGUUUAGAAUUUAGAUGCACCUCUGGUUAGUCUGCUACUAGGUCGAGAUUGGUCUCCGCCAGGCCUACGUGGUAGAGCUUCAUGUUGAAGACGUGUUAUUGCUUGCUCCUCUUCACCCUCCUGAUGGAUCGUCUCCUUGAUCAGUUGAGGUGGUUCCCCAUGCAUGAACGUAACCAUUGACCUAAAACAUGGCUAGCUCGAUGUGUGUCUGCCCUUGCGUGUGUAAUAAGUGUCUCUGUUUUUUCUCUUUUCCUUUCUACAUUUUGUAUUACGCUGCAAAUCGAUACUUCUAUACAUCAUACCAUUGUUUUGGUUGACAUGAUCAAAUGAAGCUCUAUUUUUUCUGCUAUAGUGCUAAGAGUCAUUACCAUUCAGUAUCUAGCCAAGGGAUCGUCUAAGAUAGUUGUUUUUAGUCAACUCCUGAAAGUUUUAAUAAGACAUCUAAGAGGUUAGUACCAACUCCUAUGUAAUGAUUUUUCAGCAGUAUACUUCAGUGCCGUUUUAGACUUCUGUAGUCAAAUGUCAUUUUAAUGGUAAAUUGUACGAAAACACCCAACCUUAAAUAUUUUAAUGUCCAAGAGAAUGUAUUUUCUCCUUUAUAUCCCUUUCUUAUUUUCUCCUUUGUGUGUCUAGCAUUUUUUUUCUCUCCAUAUAAGUUCUUUUUAACUGUUGGUUCUACCUUGCUUUCCCAGAUGUUCAAACUUGUAUCAAAGAAUCGGAAACCAGUUCAAGCUUGAGAUUUUGAGUGGAAUACAUCAAGCUCAAGUUCUGGUAUGAGGGGAGGCACAUUGGGUUAAGCCUGUCCUAGGUGAUGGCCAUAAACCUGCAGCCAUGCUUCCGGUGAAAAGUAACAGUACACAUUUAAGUAGUUGCUUCCUUUUCUCUGCUCCUUGGGGGAAUGCAUUGACAACUGAAGAUUAUUGUGAGCAUCUAUUUGUUAUGUAUAUUGCGGGCUGGCCAUGCACUGCUUUGGUUCCAUAGAAUCCACUUUCCCUGCCGCAUCUCAGUUCGGUGAGAUGUUCAUCAGCAUGUGCUACCUUGCUGCGAACAAAAUGAUGAGCCCCUUCCUCACACAGCGCACCAAGAGCAAGAUCAUUUUUUUACAGCCAGACCAAAUGAUCCUUAAUUCACCACUUCUGACUUUUUAAACGAGCUCUGUAGCAAAUCUUCAUCCAAGAAAAAAAAUAGUUGAGAUCCCUAUCACCGAGCCGAGGGUGAUCAAGUCGCAGAUCACGAUGGGACAAUGGGAACUCCAAGAUGAUGCAGAUCUUCUGAAGAACAAGCAUACUGCUCAUCUGGGAGGUGCAAUAAUAACUGGACAAGUUCAAUCUUCUACGCGAGGCAUUGAUAUGCUCUCACUACUGAGAAGUGGCUACUGAAGAAGUUUAGAUGCUUAGCUAUUAUGUGGACAACACUAGCAGAGCUCUGAAAAUACAAAAGGCGAACAAAUUGAAACCACACUUUAUGCUUUAUCCAAAGAACAACUGGAAGCAAUCGAGGGAAAACGCUUGAAGUUAAACAUUGUGAUCACAAGAGAUGAACAACCCACACAACUGGUGGUUCUGUUAAUGCAAGGAUUGUUGGAAGAAAACAGCUCCAACUGGAAAUUCCUUCAGAUGUCCCAGCUGUAAAGCCACACAGGAACGACAUAGGUAUAAGCUCUCAGUUAGGGCAACUGAUAUUAGGCCGAACAACUAGAACAAGAGGGUAAUCAACCAAUUCAUGUUUCUUGGUGACAACGACACUACCCUCACAGGUAGAGAUGCAAUACUGCUUGCAGCAACCACUAACAGCUGUCCUGAUUUCGUCCCUCCAGCCAUUGCUAACACAGCAGGGAAGAAGUGUAUUGUUUUCGCUGUGACACCGAAAACUCUUGACAUGAACGAUGGUUUAGUAUUCUUCACCAUGUCAAACGUCCAGCUGAUUAAUACUCCAGCACCAGCAGAGCCAUCUCCUAGCAACUCCAGACGAGCAGCAACCAAUGAAGCAUCUGUGCUUACACAACCACCUUGAGAUAUACAGAAUUAGCUUGAGGAUGAUAAAGACCUACAAGCUUGAGAUAUACAGAAUCAGUUUGCUCUUUUUUCAGGUUUCCACUAGAAAAGGCAGCAAACUAAAAUAAGCUUGUGGCUUCGGGAGCUGUCGUUGCCAAAACCGAAACAGCAAACAGGCCGAAGAAGCAGUCGACACAGACAUAGGAGGUUGAAAUUAUCGAAUGAGCUAUAAUAUAAUCUUAUAAUCGGCAGGACAAAAGCUCAACACGUGAAGGCAAGAAUAUAAAGAAUACAUUGACAGCAACUAAAACAGCAAAAAAAAGUGCUACUGGUGAGAAGAAGGGCCUAGCGAAGGAACUCUUCCCGCAGAUAACUGUCUAAUAUAGAUAUUAAUUGCAUAUCAUAUAGCAUUACAAUGAAACAUCAAUCUCACAUCAAACUCUUUUUUUUUGAGAACUCUCAAAUACCCUUACUGCAACUAUCAUCAAAGACAGACAUGCAACUAUGUGGCUACAAACACAACUUUCCUUCAGGAAAUCACUCCUCCGACUUUUGUUAUCGACACGAAGUUGUAUAAUAAUAUCAUCCUAUGUAAUGCAACCAGUAGAUGCAUCCUAUGUAAUGCAGCAGCUUCAACAAUUAACCAUGCUUCACAUGGUUCAAUCAAUGCACAGAAACAAUUAUUUGCGGGAAAAGCUAGCCAAACUUCCGCAGGUACUAUAAAGUCAAGUCAGCUCAGCCUAAGGAUCCAAGAGGAGGAAUAAAACCAUGAAUCUGCCGACGUUAGUCCGCAGAAGACCAUGUUUAGAGCUGCUAAUCUACGUUCAGUCUCUAGAAACAAAGACUUCUAUUAUACUGUUGUAUUAAGUGCCUACCAGGCAAAUAAAUUACUUGUCGUGCUACUAUGUUCUUUA